RNAcentral lists this long non-coding RNA (422 nucleotides) under Brassica napus (rape). RNAcentral's name for it is "long non-coding RNA (BNAP_LNC026685)". The record is from RNAcentral. Lineage: Eukaryota; Viridiplantae; Streptophyta; Magnoliopsida; Brassicales; Brassicaceae.
GGUGAGAGUUGUGAUUAUUAUUUGGGAGCAAUGAAAAAGGAAAAGAAGUGACUCUUUGUGUUUACGUGAAUUGUCUUAUUGGGAUAAGUAGAAAAACCUCUAGCUCAAGUUAUGAAAAGUCUUGGCCCCCAUCUAAAAAUAAAAAAAUAAAAAUAAAAUAAAAUAAAAUAAAAUAAAAUAUAAAAAGAAAAGAAAAAGAAAGAAAAAUGGGGCUAGCAAAAUUGUUAGGAGCUAAGUAAUGUUUUGAGGUUGUGGAAAAUCCCUUGUAGAUUUCAAAGAGAAGGAGUUAAAGUUUUUAGGAUCUUUUGGUGAGAGAUGUGAGUUGGGUUUGACAUUUGGGAAUGAUUGUGUAAUUGUAUGAUUAGGAAAAGGGUAGAACAAUGGAGAUUGAGCAUUGUGCAAUGUCAAGGCUACUUGUUUUG